AAAGUCGUAACAAGGUUUCCGUAGGUGAACCUGCGGAAGGAUCAUUAAUGAAUAAACUUGGUGGACUGUUGCUGGCUCCUCAGGGGGUACUGUGCACGUCUGUCAUUUUUACUUUUCCACCUGUGCACCUUCUGUAGACCCGCAUUCUGGUUAUCGAGCUUCGGGAGUCAAAUCCCUUUGUCUCGGAGUUGAGGUUUGCUGCGCGGCUUCACUGCUGUCGGCUUUCCUGUGAGCAACAUCCAGAGGGUCUACGUUAUUACAACAUACCCCAAAUGAAUGUAUCAGAACGUUUACAAGGCCUUAAAACAGCCUAUAAAAUCUAUACAACUUUCAGCAACGGAUCUCUUGGCUCUC
RNAcentral lists this unclassified non-coding RNA (354 nucleotides) under Basidiomycota sp. Its description in RNAcentral is "partial contains small subunit ribosomal RNA, internal transcribed spacer 1, and 5.8S ribosomal RNA". The stretch from base 1 to 47 matches the Rfam family "Eukaryotic small subunit ribosomal RNA", at positions 1785 to 1831 of the family's 1831-position model. The record is from RNAcentral. Lineage: Eukaryota; Fungi; Basidiomycota.